ACAAGCAGCGGAGCAUGUGGUUUAAUUCGAAGCAACGCGAAGAACCUUACCAGAUCUUGACAUCCAAUUGACCAUCUUUUAAUCGAGAUUUUGCCUUCGGGUACAAUUGAGACAGGUGGUGCAUGGUUGUCGUCAGCUCGUGUCGUGAGAUGUUGGGUUAAGUCCCGCAACGAGCGCAACCCUUGUGUUUAGUUGCAAACAGGUCAAGCUGUGCACUCUAGACAGACUGCCGUGGACAACACGGAGGAGGGUGGGGACGACGUCAAGUCAUCAUGGCCCUCAUGUCCAGGGCGACACACGUGCUACAAUGGCCGGCACAACGGGAAGCGACGGCGCGAGUCGUAGCGGAUCCCUCAAAGCCGGUCCCAGUUCGGAUUGCAGUCUGCAACUCGACUGCAUGAAGCCGGAAUCGCUAGUAAUCGUGGAUCAGCCAAGCCGCGGUGAAUACGUUCCCGGGCCUU
RNAcentral lists this ribosomal RNA (461 nucleotides) under uncultured Fusibacter sp. RNAcentral's name for it is "bacterial SSU rRNA". It matches the Rfam family "Bacterial small subunit ribosomal RNA", at positions 925 to 1382 of the family's 1533-position model. The record is from RNAcentral. Lineage: Bacteria; Bacillati; Bacillota; Clostridia; Eubacteriales; Fusibacteraceae.